GAUGAACGCUGGCGGCGUGCUUAACACAUGCAAGUCGAACGAAGCACCUUGAUUCGAUUCUUCGGAUGAAGAUCUUGGUGACUGAGUGGCGGACGGGUGAGUAACGCGUGGGUAACCUGCCUCAUACAGGGGGAUAACAGUUAGAAAUGACUGCUAAUACCGCAUAAGACCACCGCACCGCAUGGUGCAGGGGUAAAAACUCCGGUGGUAUGAGAUGGACCCGCGUCUGAUUAGGUAGUUGGUGGGGUAACGGCCUACCAAGCCGACGAUCAGUAGCCGACCUGAGAGGGUGACCGGCCACAUUGGGACUGAGACACGGCCCAAACUCCUACGGGAGGCAGCAGUGGGGAAUAUUGCACAAUGGGGGAAACCCUGAUGCAGCGACGCCGCGUGAGCGAUGAAGUAUUUCGGUAUGUAAAGCUCUAUCAGCAGGGAAGAAAAUGACGGUACCUGACGAAGAAGCACCGGCUAAAUACGUG
RNAcentral lists this ribosomal RNA (479 nucleotides) under uncultured bacterium. RNAcentral's name for it is "partial 16S ribosomal RNA". It matches the Rfam family "Bacterial small subunit ribosomal RNA", at positions 28 to 507 of the family's 1533-position model. The record is from RNAcentral.